GGACUACCCUUUUACUACUGUGGCAGUGGAGGUAGUAUUGUUUUAUGUGUACUGCUGCAGACUGGUCGCGAGGGCAGAUAAAGAGCAAGAGCUUUUUUGUUUUCUACAGAGUUGAUUUUGGAAAAAGCUAAAAGGUCUACUGAGGGUCAGCGAGGCGGUCUGCUGUUGGACAUUAUGGGAGGGCCAGGUUGUGCAGAAUGCUGUUAGCUGAGACUCAUGGACCGCUCAUUUUUUCGGCAGAGCCACUGGCGCAGGAGUCUAGUGUCUGCAGAAACCAGCAUCCUGUUUCCGGAGCCUCCAUGAGGAGUCCGCACACCUGAAAAAUUGGAUGGACUCAACGCAGAAUAUUGGAGACGGGAACUACAUCCCAACGUGAUGUCGGACACUGUCCAUGUCUCCAGUUGGAAGAGUACUGGAGAAGGAUGAGGUCUUUUGACUGCUCUGAUGAUAUCUAAUAGGAAGUGCCGUCAGAAGCGAUAACUGACGAUAACUACUCCUGGCUGACUGCAGUCAAAAGUUGCAAAUUGGCAGAGGAAACCAGCAGCUUAGUAUUGCAGCCUGGAGCAUUGGCCUUGGAACAGGUUUGGGGAGCAGUGCUGGAGUGCAGUUUUAGAGCUGGCAGAGGCUAAGGACUCAAAGCUGCCAUUCAUUCAGUUUGAGAACCUAAAUGACUUCAACAUUUGGUACAGAAGAAACAAGUUGGGCAUGGUGGCACACGAUGCAAUCUCAGCAAAAGUGGAAAUCCCAGAAGAAACAAGCUUACCUCCAGCAUCAGAGGCCUUCUCAGCAGAACUGAUGUAUCUGGCAACUUUUUGUAGGACAGGCACAUUUAGUGUCAUGCACUAACCUGAACAACAAACAGGAGCAGCUUCUAUGUCUUUGGAUAAAUUUAUGUUUAUAAGUGUUGUUAUUAAAUAGUAUUGUAAUAACGGAUGGUCUUUGGUAUUGAUUCUUAGAAAUAUGUAUUUGGAGAAAAAGUUAAAUUUGACUGCUGUGAGUGUUAGCAUUCAAGUUUGUAAACUUCUGAUCAGUCUGGUCAUUUUAACUGUAGACCUCAGGGGCAAAAAUUCAGAAGCAUUUCAGGCAUCCAUCCUUGAUAAUAGUCCCUGCUGCCUUUGUCCCUUGAAGCGUGUGAUGAAUGAGUUGGCUGUACACGAUAUUUAGCCAGAACCAUUAAAGGACAUGUCCAGCCUC
Heterocephalus glaber (naked mole-rat) is the source of this 1194-nucleotide non-coding RNA. The record is from RefSeq and is a predicted model, not a curated record. Lineage: Eukaryota; Metazoa; Chordata; Mammalia; Rodentia; Bathyergidae.